ACGGAAGGCAGCAGUGAGGAAUAUUGGUCAAUGGGCGCGAGCCUGAACCAGCCAAGUAGCGUGAGGGAUGACUGCCCUACGGGUUGUAAACCUCUUUUGUUUGGGAAUAAAGGAGCCUACGUGUAGGCUUUUGCAUGUACCUUUCGAAUAAGCAUCGGCUAAUUCCGUGCCAGCAGCCGCGGUAAUACGGAAGAUGCGAGCGUUAUCCGGAUUUAUUGGGUUUAAAGGGAGCGUAGGCCGUGCUUUAAGCGUGUUGUGAAAUGUAGGCGCCCAACGUCUGCACUGCAGCGCGAACUGGAGCACUUGAGUACGCAGGAAGUAGGCGGAAUUCGUCGUGUAGCGGUGAAAUGCUUAGAUAUGACGAAGAACUCCGAUUGGGAAGCCAGCUUACUGUAGCGCCACUGACGCUGAUGCUCGAAAGCGUGGGUAUCGAACAGGAUUAGAUACCCUGGUA
RNAcentral lists this ribosomal RNA (454 nucleotides) under uncultured Prevotella sp. RNAcentral's name for it is "partial 16S ribosomal RNA". It matches the Rfam family "Bacterial small subunit ribosomal RNA", at positions 341 to 792 of the family's 1533-position model. The record is from RNAcentral. Lineage: Bacteria; Pseudomonadati; Bacteroidota; Bacteroidia; Bacteroidales; Prevotellaceae.